Long non-coding RNA from Mesoplodon densirostris (Blainville's beaked whale), 849 nucleotides. RefSeq lists it as uncharacterized. The transcript is spliced from 6 exons. Lineage: Eukaryota; Metazoa; Chordata; Mammalia; Artiodactyla; Ziphiidae. The record is from RefSeq and is a predicted model, not a curated record.
GAGACGGUGGGCGCGGGAGGACGGGGGUGAGGAGCCCUCCUCCUCCCCCCACCCCCCGCCGCGGCGCGAGGAGUCGGGGCAGCGGAGCAGAGUCACACCCAGAACCAGCUCCCCUCCGCCCCUUCUUCUCCAGGCCACUCAGUAGAGGCACAGAGCCCACACCUGGCAUACCCCCUCCAGCCGCAAACAAAGUUUGCUGACUGCUGCCUUAGAUGACUGCAACUUCAUCUGCCAUCACGUGAAGCAGAAGAACUGCCAGCGUGAAUCCAACCAACGCACAUCGUCUUCCCCAAACAGGUGGACAGGUGGAGGCCCCAGCACCUUUUCGGCAGGAUUGCACCCGGCAUAGUGAAGUGUUGGCCUAGAGAGGAAGGUAUAUGAUACAGUCAGCCCUACAAUCUUUGGAUGUGGAUCCUGUGGCUAUGGAACCCGAGUAAAUGGACGGCCGAUUGUACUCCUUACGUAAAGGACAUGAGCACCUGCGGAUUUUGCUAUCCAUGGGGGUCCCCAUGGAUACCGAAGGGUAGCAAGUUGCACGUCCCCCAGGGAAAGUGCAGGAGUGGGAGCCUUACCAUGUGCUACGGUGCUCGUGACAGUCUGCUUGGCAGUCACUUACCGAGAAGAAUGAAUGGCUGGCUGCUGCAUAAACCCUCCCCCACAGCUCUUCAAGUCGUUCUCAGCUAUCAUUAAUCAGAAUAAUGGUUCUUAAACUUUGGCGUGCACCAGAACCACCUAGAAGGCUCCUUAAAACACAGAUCCAAGGGUCCACAAACAGAGUUUCCGACUCAGUAGGCCCAGGUUCAACUGAAGAGGCUGUUCUAAGAAAGACAACUGAGAUCAUCAGUCACC